This 158-nucleotide non-coding RNA is filed under the name Amorphus orientalis. Its description in RNAcentral is "6S / SsrS RNA". It matches the Rfam family "6S / SsrS RNA". Rfam says of the family: E. coli 6S RNA was the first non coding RNA to be sequenced, but its function was unknown until recently. It consists of 184 nucleotides that fold into an extended hairpin structure with a large single-stranded internal bulge. The 6S RNA specifically associates with RNA polymerase holoenzyme containing the sigma70 specificity factor. The record is from RNAcentral. Lineage: Bacteria; Pseudomonadati; Pseudomonadota; Alphaproteobacteria; Hyphomicrobiales; Amorphaceae.
GCGACACUGCGCGGUUCGACGGAGACACGCAUCCCCGGGGCCUUAUCGAUCCAAAAGGGAGCUGUCCCUGUCCCGGCCCGUGGGCUGGGGCAAAACGGCGCCCACCUACGCUGUAGGUUUCCCGGGAUCGAUACCUCCGACGGCCGAGGCGGUUCGCC